CUGUUUUUCCUUUCAAGAUUCUCCAUAAUUCUGGAAUAUUUCUACCGGAUCAGCACUAUAUCAUCACCAAAAGGAAGGAUUCCUUGAUACGUUGUCUAGACAAAUUCAGUGGAUAUGAGAGGCAAUGUAAAUCGAAGUUCUUUGUAUCGUCAAGCAUACAUUAAAUAUAUUUCAGGUGCACAAUUAUUCUCACCUCUGGCUCUCCGAGAAGGAGACGUCCCAUUAAGAAGUCUGCGAAUGAAUAUUCCUUGCCAGAGAACAGCAGCAUCCUUUCGUUUGAAUAAACCAAUUACGAUCUGUGCUCGUUCUCACUGGCAAUCACCUCCUUGUUGCUGUCCUGUCCUGUCCCAUUGCUGAUUGGCAUUCCAUUAUCUGCAUCUUCACGAGAAGCUUCUUCAUUAUUCCAUCAUCAUCAUCAUCAUCGAAAGGAGCUGCAGGAGCUGCACGAGGAGCUACUGCUUCAGUGGCAGUAACAGCUGCCACUGCAGGAUCCUUCAUUAUGUUGAUUCGUGAGGAAGGACGAGAGCGACUAAGAGGACGAGUGCGAGUGCGAGUGCUGCGUAUUUGGUUAAAUUGUUGAAGGUCGCCCGAAGGCAGCAGCACUUUUGUGGGUCUGCCUGCCCGUGGGUCUGCCUGCCAAGUCUCAUGUGCAUAAUUCAAGUUGUUGCACAUGCCACACACACACACACACACAUACAUGUGAGACACUCGAGCGGCACGACGAGCCCUGUCGACUGUCGACUGCUAAGUGUCCUUUGGCAGGCGCAAGAUGAAAGCAAAAGGCGGCUGAAAUUAAAUUAAAAUGAAAUGCAUGCAAAGUGCCACAGCGGCAGCGACAACGACAUGGUCCCGCGUCCCGUGUCCCGAGUCCCGACUCCCAGCUCCCAGCUCCCGAGUCCUCUUUUAGUCCUCGUCAUCGGUGUGUCCUGAGUGUGUACUUUAAGCUUGCAAUUAAAUUGCAGGACGAGCCGCACCGCUGCCACUGCCGCCGCACGGGAAUUGCACAGGCUCUCCGAUAGCGAGGAGAUGGAGAUCACUGCCGCCCAGAGGGUGGGGCAGAGGGCAUGUCCAAUGCAUAUGCAUUGCAAUUAAGCAAUCAAUGGCAUAAUUAUCGACACAUGAGAGUCACUCGAUUUAUUAACACGCCUGCCCCGAGGCGCUGCUGCAACAGAUACAGCAACAGAACAGCAAUCGACAAUCGAUUGGCAACUUGUUCAAUUUAAAUGCUCAAACAAACAAAGGAGACCAGACACAGACACCGGAGAGGCGGGGGGCUGGCAGUGUGGGGAGAGUGGUUUUCGGGCAUACAGCCGGAGCCGGAGUGGGGGGUUAACCAAGAAGCCAUUUGCAGACCAGAUCCAGAUCCUGUGCCAAUCAGCAGCCGCAAGCCACACAAAAACUGUCGCGACACCGAAAUGGCGGCCAAAGAAAUGUUUCGUUUUACAGACUGUAAGCGAAUUUUAUGGAACUUAUGUCCUAAUAUGAAGGAAGAGACAUUUGUAAUGGAAAACGAUGCAAGAUCUACAAUGUUCAAAGGAACAUUGGCGGCCGACACAGAAACUACAGGAACACAGGAACUACAGGAGCUUAAAGACGAAGGACAGGAAUAGUUCGAUGAUUCAGCAAAUAAGCUAAAGAAGAUUCCCAAUUUACCAGAUGUCUAUCAUAUAUUAUUGUGGAAAAAAACACGUCGGUGUGGGAUUUUGAACAGACAGAUAGAAGGAAACAUUUCCGAACCCAUGAGGUACACAGUAGUAGCCGGGCUCCCUCCGGCGGCUGUACCUGUUUGGGUGGUGCCGGAUCGAUACUGCAUCCACGAUCGCAUGCAUCGUGCUUCGCAGGUGCAGACAUUACCGACAUCGUCUUCCCUCCUGCACCUCCUGCUUUACCUUGAAGGCUUUGACCGGCUUAUUGGCCGAGACACUUUCUCGCAACAACCGCGAUCUCCUCCUCUUACCCCGCCAGCAGAUCGCACCUUCCGGAGGCCAUGAAUAGCUCUUGUUUACGAAGGGCCUAAGCCUGACGACAGUCCACUCCAUGCGAGCGGCUAACAUCGGAUUUGCAUAAAAUUACAAUACUGGUUUUUUCUGUAGGCCAUAUCUCUGGUAUCCGGCAGCCGAUCUGGGCGCGGCAUGUCUCUCCGGGCUCAGGA
Long non-coding RNA from Drosophila pseudoobscura, 2152 nucleotides. RefSeq lists it as uncharacterized. The record is from RefSeq and is a predicted model, not a curated record. The transcript has 6 exons. Lineage: Eukaryota; Metazoa; Arthropoda; Insecta; Diptera; Drosophilidae.